RNAcentral lists this ribosomal RNA (460 nucleotides) under uncultured bacterium. RNAcentral describes it as "partial 16S ribosomal RNA". It matches the Rfam family "Bacterial small subunit ribosomal RNA", at positions 338 to 795 of the family's 1533-position model. The record is from RNAcentral.
CCUACGGGGGGCAGCAGUGAGGAAUAUUGGUCAAUGGGCGGAAGCCUGAACCAGCCAAGUCGCGUGAGGGAUGAAGGUUCUAUGGAUCGUAAACCUCUUUUAUAAGGGAAUAAAGUGUGGGACGUGUCCUGUUUUGUAUGUACCUUAUGAAUAAGGAUCGGCUAACUCCGUGCCAGCAGCCGCGGUAAUACGGAGGAUCCGAGCGUGAUCCGGAUUUAUUGGGUUUAAGGGGUGCGCAGGCGGCCUUUUAAGUCAGCGGUGAAAGUCUGUGGCUCAACCAUAGAAUUGCCGUUGAAACUGGGAGGCUUGAGUAUGUUAGAGGCAGGUGGAAUGCGUGGUGUAGCGGUGAAAUGCUUAGAUAUCACGCAGAACCCCGAUUGCGAAGGCAGCCUGCCAAGCCAUGACUGACGCUGAUGCACGAAAGCGUGGGGAUCAAACAGGAUUAGAUACCCGAGUAGUC